CAUAGGUUAAUGAGGCGAACCGGGGGAACUGAAACAUCUAAGUACCCCGAGGAAAAGAAAUCAACCGAGAUUCCCCCAGUAGCGGCGAGCGAACGGGGAGCAGCCCAGAGCCUGAAUCAGUAUGUGUGUUAGUGGAAGCGUCUGGAAAGGCGCGCGAUACAGGGUGACAGCCCCGUACACAAAAAUGCACAUGCUGUGAGCUCGAUGAGUAGGGCGGGACACGUGGUAUCCUGUCUGAAUAUGGGGGGACCAUCCUCCAAGGCUAAAUACUCCUGACUGACCGAUAGUGAACCAGUACCGUGAGGGAAAGGCGAAAAGAACCCCGGCGAGGGGAGUGAAAAAGAACCUGAAACCGUGUACGUACAAGCAGUGGGAGCACGCUUAGGCGUGUGACUGCGUACCUUUUGUAUAAUGGGUCAGCGACUUAUAUUCUGUAGCAAGGUUAACCGAAUAGGGGAGCCGAAGGGAAACCGAGUCUUAACUGGGCGUUAAGUUGCAGGGUAUAGACCCGAAACCCGGUGAUCUAGCCAUGGGCAGGUUGAAGGUUGGGUAACACUAACUGGAGGACCGAACCGACUAAUGUUGAAAAAUUAGCGGAUGACUUGUGGCUGGGGGUGAAAGGCCAAUCAAACCGGGAGAUAGCUGGUUCUCCCCGAAAGCUAUUUAGGUAGCGCCUCGUGAAUUCAUCUCCGGGGGUAGAGCACUGUUUCGGCAAGGGGGUCAUCCCGACUUACCAACCCGAUGCAAACUGCGAAUACCGGAGAAUGUUAUCACGGGAGACACACGGCGGGUGCUAACGUCCGUCGUGAAGAGGGAAACAACCCAGACCGCCAGCUAAGGUCCCAAAGUCAUGGUUAAGUGGGAAACGAUGUGGGAAGGCCCAGACAGCCAGGAUGUUGGCUUAGAAGCAGCCAUCAUUUAAAGAAAGCGUAAUAGCUCACUGGUCGAGUCGGCCUGCGCGGAAGAUGUAACGGGGCUAAACCAUGCACCGAAGCUGCGGCAGCGACGCUGAUGCGUUGUUGGGUAGGGGAGCGUUCUGUAAGCCUGCGAAGGUGUGCUGUGAGGCAUGCUGGAGGUAUCAGAAGUGCGAAUGCUGACAUAAGUAACGAUAAAGCGGGUGAAAAGCCCGCUCGCCGGAAGACCAAGGGUUCCUGUCCAACGUUAAUCGGGGCAGGGUGAGUCGACCCCUAAGGCGAGGCCGAAAGGCGUAGUCGAUGGGAAACAGGUUAAUAUUCCUGUACUUGGUGUUACUGCGAAGGGGGGACGGAGAAGGCUAUGUUGGCCGGGCGACGGUUGUCCCGGUUUAAGCGUGUAGGCUGGUUUUCCAGGCAAAUCCGGAAAAUCAAGGCUGAGGCGUGAUGACGAGGCACUGCGGUGCUGAAGCAACAAAUGCCCU
This 1396-nucleotide ribosomal RNA is filed under the name Escherichia coli. RNAcentral describes it as "partial 23S ribosomal RNA". It matches the Rfam family "Bacterial large subunit ribosomal RNA", at positions 165 to 1603 of the family's 2925-position model. The record is from RNAcentral. Lineage: Bacteria; Pseudomonadati; Pseudomonadota; Gammaproteobacteria; Enterobacterales; Enterobacteriaceae.